CGCUAUGAAGCUACCCUAGCGUUAACCUUUUAAGUUAAAGAAUGAGAACAAUUGUUCUCCAUAGCGA
RNAcentral lists this transfer RNA (67 nucleotides) under Pattonomys semivillosus (Speckled spiny tree-rat). Its description in RNAcentral is "tRNA-Lys". The record is from RNAcentral. Lineage: Eukaryota; Metazoa; Chordata; Mammalia; Rodentia; Echimyidae.